This 468-nucleotide ribosomal RNA is filed under the name uncultured bacterium. RNAcentral's name for it is "partial 16S ribosomal RNA". It matches the Rfam family "Bacterial small subunit ribosomal RNA", at positions 28 to 507 of the family's 1533-position model. The record is from RNAcentral.
GACGAACGCUGGCGGCGUGCUUAACACAUGCAAGUCGAACGGAAAGACCCUGCUUUUGUGGGGUGCUCGAGUGGCGAACGGGUGAGUAACACGUGAGUAACCUGCCCUUGACUUUGGGAUAACUUCAGGAAACUGGGGCUAAUACCGGAUAGGAGCUCCUGCUGCAUGGCGGGGGUUGGAAAGUUUCGGCGGUUGGGGAUGGACUCGCGGCUUAUCAGCUUGUUGGUGGGGUAGUGGCUUACCAAGGCUUUGACGGGUAGCCGGCCUGAGAGGGUGACCGGCCACAUUGGGACUGAGAUACGGCCCAGACUCCUACGGGAGGCAGCAGUGGGGAAUAUUGCACAAUGGGCGGAAGCCUGAUGCAGCAACGCCGCGUGCGGGAUGACGGCCUUCGGGUUGUAAACCGCUUUCGCCUGUGACGAAGCGUGAGUGACGGUAAUGGGUAAAGAAGCACCGGCUAACUACGUG